AACUCGGCAAAAUGACUCCGUAACUUCGGAAGAAGGAGUAACUUUAUUAGGGCAACCUUUUAAAGUUGGCACAGAAUCGGGGACAGCGACUAGUUAUUAAAACUACAGGUCUCUGCAAAUUUGUAAAAAGAUGUAUUGAGGCUGACGCCUGCCCAGUGCUGCAAGAUUAAAGGAAGAAGUCUGUUGGCUUUAACCCUAAACCCCAGUAAACGGCGGCUGUAACUCUGACGGUCCUAAGGUAGCGAAAUUCCUUGGCAUUUAAUUGGUGUCCUGCAUGAAUGGCGUAACGACUGUCCCACUGUCUCCAACAUAAACUCAGUGAAAUUGAAAUUUUCGUGAAGAUGCGAAAUUCUCGCGGCUAGACGGAAAGACCCCGUGCACCUUUACUAUAGUUAUACAUUGUAAUGAAUUUUUUUUUGUGUAGAAUAAGUGGGAAGUUGUUCAUUUUACAUCUAUUCGCGCAAGCGAAUAAGUUAAACAUCGCUGAAAUACCACUCUGAAAAUUUUUCAUUACUUAUUGAUUAAGACAUUGUAUAAUGGGUAGUUUGACUGGGGCGGUCGCCUCCUAAAGAGUAACGGAGGCGUGCAAAGGUAAAUUUAGGUUGAUUUAGAACAACUUUAAAGCAUAAUAGUAUAUAUUUGCCUGACUGUAAGAUUGACAAAUCAAGCAGGGACGAAAGUCGGUUAUAGUGAUCCGGUGAUUCUGAGUGGAAAAGGUCACCGCUCAACGAAUAAAAGGUACGCCGGGGAUAACAGGCUAAUCACUCUCUAGAGACCUUAUCGACGGAGUGGUUUGGCACCUCGAUGUUGGAUUAUCGCAUCCUGGAACUGUAUGCGGUUCCAAGGGUUUGGCUGUUCGCCAAUGAAGGCGGUACAUGAUCUGAGUUUAGAACGUCGUGAGACAGUUUGGUCCCUAUCUACCGUAAGUGUAAAAAAUUGAAAGGAGUAGACUCUAGUACGAGAGGAACGGGAAAAGCGAAUCCAUGGUGAAUCGAUUGUUAGACCAAUAGCAUAGUCGAGUAGCUAUAUUCGUACCAAAUAAUCGCUGAAAGCAUCUAAGCGAGAAAUUAACCUUAAAACUAGUUUUUUUAUAAAUGUAAAAGAUAAUUACAUAGAUAGGCUUGAUGUGUAAGAGUUGCGAGAUUUUUAGCUGACAAGUACUGAGUGAAAAAUGUAGUAUUUAA
This 1184-nucleotide ribosomal RNA is filed under the name marine metagenome. RNAcentral's name for it is "bacterial LSU rRNA". It matches the Rfam family "Bacterial large subunit ribosomal RNA", at positions 1711 to 2925 of the family's 2925-position model. The record is from RNAcentral.